GUGAGGAAUAUUGGUCAAUGGGCGGGAGCCUGAACCAGCCAAGUCGCGUGAAGGAAGAAGGAUCUAUGGUUCGUAAACUUCUUUUGCAGGGGAAUAAAGUGCAGGACGUGUCCUGUUUUGUAUGUACCCUGAGAAUAAGGAUCGGCUAACUCCGUGCCAGCAGCCGCGGUAAUACGGAGGAUCCGAGCGUUAUCCGGAUUUAUUGGGUUUAAAGGGUGCGUAGGUGGUUUGAUAAGUCAGCGGUGAAAGUUUGCAGCUUAACUGUAAAAAUGCCGUUGAAACUGUCGGACUUGAGUGUAAAUGAGGUAGGCGGAAUGCGUGGUGUAGCGGUGAAAUGCAUAGAUAUCACGCAGAACUCCGAUUGCGAAGGCAGCUUACUAAGCUACAACUGACACUGAAGCACGAAAGCGUGGGGAUCAAACA
RNAcentral lists this ribosomal RNA (423 nucleotides) under uncultured bacterium. RNAcentral's name for it is "bacterial SSU rRNA". It matches the Rfam family "Bacterial small subunit ribosomal RNA", at positions 354 to 774 of the family's 1533-position model. The record is from RNAcentral.